GCGGCUAUGGCGGAAUUGGUAGACGCGCUAGCUUCAGGUGCUAGUGGGGGCAACUCCGUGGAUGUUCGAGUCAUCUUAGCCGCA
Molecule: transfer RNA, 84 nt
Filed under: Chlamydiales bacterium
Lineage: Bacteria; Pseudomonadati; Chlamydiota; Chlamydiia; Chlamydiales
Also listed under: 1 other name
Description: tRNA-Leu
Rfam family: tRNA
About the family: Transfer RNA (tRNA) molecules are approximately 80 nucleotides in length.
Source: RNAcentral